RNAcentral lists this ribosomal RNA (253 nucleotides) under uncultured bacterium. Its description in RNAcentral is "partial 16S ribosomal RNA". It matches the Rfam family "Bacterial small subunit ribosomal RNA", at positions 524 to 776 of the family's 1533-position model. The record is from RNAcentral.
GACAGAGGAGGCAAGCGUUGUUCGGAAUCACUGGGCUUAAAGCGCGUGUAGGCGGCUUGGUCAGUACCUUGUGAAAUGCUCCGGCUCAACCGAGGCACUGCUGGGUAUACUGCCAGGCUCGAGGCAGGUAGGGGCCGCUGGAACUCUAGGUGGAGCGGUGAAAUGCGUAGAUAUCUAGAGGAACGCCCGAGGCGAAAGCGGGCGGCUGGGCCUGUCCUGACGCUGAUACGCGAAAGUGUGGGGAGCAAACGGG